RNAcentral lists this ribosomal RNA (366 nucleotides) under uncultured bacterium. Its description in RNAcentral is "partial 16S ribosomal RNA". It matches the Rfam family "Bacterial small subunit ribosomal RNA", at positions 338 to 701 of the family's 1533-position model. The record is from RNAcentral.
CCUCCGGGAGGCAGCAGUGAGGAAUAUUGGUCAAUGGGCGCGAGCCUGAACCAGCCAAGUAGCGUGAAGGAUGACUGCCCUACGGGUUGUAAACUUCUUUUAUAAAGGAAUAAAGUGAGGCACGCGUGCCUUUUUGUAAGUACUUUAUGAAUAAGGAUCGGCUAACUCCGUGCCAGCAGCCGCGGUAAUACGGAGGAUCCGAGCGUUAUCCGGAUUUAUUGGGUUUAAAGGGAGCGUAGAUGGGGUAUUAAGUCAGUGGGGAAAGUUUGCGGCUCAACCGUAAUAUUGCAAUUGAUACUGGCAGUCUUGGGUACAGUUGAGGUAGGCGGGAUUCGUGGGUUAGCGGGUAAAUGCUUAGGUAUCACG